This is a long non-coding RNA of Oncorhynchus tshawytscha (Chinook salmon), 2740 nucleotides long. The record is from Ensembl. NCBI's taxonomy places the organism in Eukaryota, Metazoa, Chordata, Actinopteri, Salmoniformes, Salmonidae.
CAUGAUUCCAUAUGCGUUAUUUAAUAGUAAAAUUAAGAAAAACCCUUGAAUGAGUAGGUGCCCCCAAACCUUUGACUGGUACUGUAUAUAUUUACAAAAAAAUAUGGGGUAUUGGAAAUGAUGCAAUUACAUUGAUAGAACAAUCUACCUGCCCCCCACAAAAAAAUAAUAAUAGUGGUGUGGGGGCUGUGCUUUGGCAAAGUGGGUGGGGUUUAUAUCCUGCCUAUAUUCCUGUUUGGCCCUGUCUGGGUCUGUGGUAUCACCGGAUGGGGCCACAGUGUCUCCUGACCCCUCCUGUCUCAGCCUCCAGUACUUACGCUGUAGUAGUUUGUGUCGGGGGGCUAGGGUCAGUCAUAUCUGGAGAACUUCUCCUGUCUUAUCCGGUGUGAAUUUACGUAUGCUCUCUCUAAUUCUCUCUUUCGGAGGACCUGUGCCCUAGGACCAUGCCUCAGGACUACCUGGCAUGAUGACUCCUUGCUGUCCCCAGUCCACCUGGCCGUGCUGCUGGUCCAGUUUCAACUGUUCUGCCUGUGGCUAUGGAGCCCUGACCUGUUCACCGGACAUGCUACCUGUCCCAGACCUGCUGUUUUCAACUCUCUAGAGACAGCAGGAGCGGUAGAGAUACUCUCAAUGAUCAGCUAUGAAAAGCCAAUUGACAUUUACUCCUGAGGUGCUGACCUGUUGCACCCUCGACAACUACUGUGAUUAUUAUUAUUUGACCAUGUUGGCCAUUCAUGAACAUCUUGGCCAUGUUCUGUUAUAAUCUCCACCCGGCACAGCCAGAAGAGGACCGGCCACCCCUCAUAGCCUGGUUCCUCUCUAGGUUUCUUCCUUGGUUUUGGCCUUUCUAGGGAGCUUUUCCUAGCCACCGUGCUUCUACACCUGCAUUGCUUUCUGUUUGGAGUUUUAGGCUGGUUUUCUGUACAGCACUUUGAGAUAUCAGGUGAUAUCAGUAAGAAGGGCUUUAUAAAUACAUUAGAUUUGAAUAAAAAGGCAUAUUUGAUGGGCGCAGGAUUAUGCUCCAGCCAAGCAGUAGUAAUACCUGGAUGAAACUAAACUACACCCAGGUAUAUAAGUCCCUCCCAUCCAAUCAUGUGACAAACACAUCUAAAACAGACACAUGGGAGACAGGAUCCAUGUUUAAUCAAGUCAUCAUUUGAAACGAGCAUCUGUCUGAGCAUGUCCCCGUUCAACAUAACACAAAUGGAUGUCAAGAGGUGGGCAUUACAGCAUCAACAGUCAUUAUUCAUGCCAGAUAGAUACACCCAACUGGCCGAACCGGCCAACAUAAGGCCAGUCUUCCCUUCCACAGUUUUCAUUAUACCGUUUGAAUAGAAUAGGACAAAUAAACACAUUUGUCAAACAACAUUUCAACCAAUCCAUUUCAAAGGGCAAAUGUUGCAUUUCCAUAAUGCUUCAAAUGUCAAAAACUACAAUCCAUUCAUUAUUUAGCAAAGGCAAUUGUCUGUCUGAGAAAGCCUGACAAUACUUUAAUAUCAUUGUUUUAGAGAGAAAGACCCUGUUUUUAGAGUCACAGUAAAGCAGUUAGAAAACAAACUGAAACUAGAAUUCUAGUUUUAGAACAAUGUAGAUGUGUAGAGGUGUUCUGAAUCUAUCAUUCUAGAACAGAUUUAAAACAGAGCUGUUCUAGAGGUGUUCUGAAACUAUCAUUCUAGAACAGAUUUAAAACAGAGCUGUAGAAGAGACAGUUUGAUCAUUCCUAAAGGCACUUCCCUGUACCUUCAAUAUGUCCUGAUUCAGUGCAAACAAGCUUGUCAACAACAAUAUGUACAUAUCAGGAUCAAUAACAACAAUCACUGAUUAUUAUCACGAAACUCCCCAAAGACACACAUCCAUCUCACCCCAUUCUAGUCUUGUUCUGAGGGAAAGAAAAGUUCCUCUCCUUUUCAUUACACAUCUUCACCUUUCCUCUGAGAAAUGAAAACAGCAAAUAAAAGUUGGCUCUUGACUGUAAUAACGACCAGUGGCAGAACGACUAGACUUCAUAUUUUACUACCUAACCAGUAAAAUACACAGGAGGCCUUUCAAACUAAUGCUGGCAUCUGGCUCACGGGUGAAUAUUUUCACAGUAUUUUACUAAAUGUUCCUUCCUGAGAAUAAAUCACUUUCCUACCGACUAAACUGGUAUUUCCAGUCCAAACUGGAACGGUCCUUCAAAAGCAUUACAGAGCAUAAAAACAGGCCUGUCUGGAUUUGAUUAGAGCUUUGAUUAAAACAUUUCAAGCCUGAUGAGCCCUACAUUAAAGACAUUUACUGAGCCCUACAUUAAAGACAUUUAAUGAGCCCUACAUUAAAGACAUUUACUGAGCCCUACAUUAAAAGAUAUUUAAUGAGCCCUACAUUAAAGACAUUUAAUGAGCCCUACAUUAAAAGAUAUUUAAUGAGCCCAAGCCCCAAAAAAGUCAAAAAUAUUGUGCUGUUAUCCAAUACAUAUAUGAUAUAGGCUACUGCGCGACAGAAAAACAGAAAAGCCCAUAGAUGUAGCUAGCUAUGUCCUCUGUUGGGUAAAUAAAUGAAACUCGCUCCAGGAGGCUUGUUGAGUGUGAACUGUAUGACUGUACUGUAUUAUACUGUACUACUGUACUGUAUUACUGUACUACUGUACUACUGUACUGUAUUAUACUGUAUUAUACUGUACUACUGUAUUAUACUGUACUACUGUACUGUACUGUAUUGUACUGUAUUAUACUGUGUAUUAUACUGUAUUACUGUACUACUG